AAACUGGUGGCAUAAAUUCUUAAGCACUCAGCUGCUAACAGAAAGAUUGGUGGUUCAAAUCCACCCCGCUUCU
RNAcentral lists this transfer RNA (73 nucleotides) under Loxodonta africana (African savanna elephant). It matches the Rfam family "tRNA". From Rfam's summary of the family: Transfer RNA (tRNA) molecules are approximately 80 nucleotides in length. Their secondary structure includes four short double-helical elements and three loops (D, anti-codon, and T loops). Further hydrogen bonds mediate the characteristic L-shaped molecular structure. tRNAs have two regions of fundamental functional importance: the anti-codon, which is responsible for specific mRNA codon recognition, and the 3' end, to which the tRNAs corresponding amino acid is attached (by aminoacyl-tRNA synthetases). tRNAs cope with the degeneracy of the genetic code in two manners: having more than one tRNA (with a specific anti-codon) for a particular amino acid; and 'wobble' base-pairing, i.e. permitting non-standard base-pairing at the 3rd anti-codon position. Lineage: Eukaryota; Metazoa; Chordata; Mammalia; Proboscidea; Elephantidae. The record is from Rfam by way of RNAcentral.